Molecule: non-coding RNA, 234 nt
Organism: Pelobates cultripes (western spadefoot toad)
Lineage: Eukaryota; Metazoa; Chordata; Amphibia; Anura; Pelobatidae
Source: the annotation of a GenBank genome assembly
GUAUGUUUGUGUAAUGGAUGCAGUGUGUGUAGCGUUUGUGCGUAGUGGAUGUAGUGUGAAGUGGAUAAAGUGUGUAAAGUGCAAGGUGGCAGUGUGUAAAGUAGCAGUAUGUAUAGUGUAAAGUGGCAGGGUGUACAGUGGAAGGUAGCAGUGUGUAAAGUGGCAGUGUGUAUAGUGCAAGGUGGUAGAGUGACGUGAGCAGUGGCAGUGUGUAUAGUGUAAUGAGGUACCUGG